Non-coding RNA from Chiloscyllium plagiosum (whitespotted bambooshark), 557 nucleotides. The record is from RefSeq and is a predicted model, not a curated record. NCBI's taxonomy places the organism in Eukaryota, Metazoa, Chordata, Chondrichthyes, Orectolobiformes, Hemiscylliidae.
CUGAAUGGAUUGAAACAUUUCCUGUGUGUACAGAAAUGAUUAAAAGCUUCUCAAACUUUAGUUUUGAAAGGUGUGCCUCUGAGUCAGGAAAUAGCGUCAUAGCCAGACAAUAAACACUGACUUAAUCAAGAUAGAAGCUGUUUAACGUAGAUAAACACAGUGUAAAAGUAGCUGAACAGUAAUCAGCAACAAGUGAUCAUUCAGACUCUUUGUGUCAGAGGCAGAGGGACAGUUUGCAUUUGAGUGAACUCACCAGUUAUGGAUUCCAACAGACAAGGAAUUAUUUCUUUCUUACUUCUUGUUCAAGGAUGUGUAAUGCCAAGACAUACAAGGCUAUAAGUGAAGUGCUGGAAAAUGGGAUUAGAAUUGUAAGGUGGCUGUUUUUGACCAGCACAGUCUCAAUGGGUCAAAGGGCAUUUUUCUGUGCUUUAGACCUUUAUGACUCUACAAGUUGCCAUGAAUCUCCUUCUCAAUCUGUGCCCUCACCUGAGAUAUGGUGGCCCUCUGGUUAAACCACCACCAAACACUUCUGUCUAACAAGACAGCAACUCCAUGGU